This is a non-coding RNA of Cynocephalus volans (Philippine flying lemur), 136 nucleotides long. RefSeq annotates it as small Cajal body-specific RNA 21. Lineage: Eukaryota; Metazoa; Chordata; Mammalia; Dermoptera; Cynocephalidae. The record is from RefSeq and is a predicted model, not a curated record. The transcript has a single exon.
UGGCUCGGUUUCCUGGGGGGUGGACUCAGCCUGCUCCACCUCCCCUCAGCCCAGCCUACAGUACAUGGGCCAGGCGUCCCUGGGGCAGAGGCAUCUAAGUAGGGAGCCUCCCCUGGGCAGUCCUAGCCUUACAUUU